AAAAUGACUCUCGGCAACGGAUAUCUCGGCUCUUGCAUCGAUGAAGAACGUAGCGAAAUGCGAUACUUGGUGUGAAUUGCAGAAUCCCGUGAACCAUCGAGUCUUUGAACGCAAGUUGCGCCCGAAGCCAUUAGGUUGAGGGCACGCCUGCCUGGGUGUCACAC
Molecule: ribosomal RNA, 164 nt
Filed under: Indigofera australis
Lineage: Eukaryota; Viridiplantae; Streptophyta; Magnoliopsida; Fabales; Fabaceae
Also listed under: 3 other names
Description: 5.8S ribosomal RNA
Rfam family: 5.8S ribosomal RNA
About the family: 5.8S ribosomal RNA (5.8S rRNA) is a component of the large subunit of the eukaryotic ribosome.
Source: RNAcentral